GUCUAGUGGUGGAGCGAUUUGUCUGGUUAUUCCGUUAACGAACGAGACCUCAGCCAUCUAACUAGCUGUCGCUACAUCGGUUAGCGUCACCAACACAUACAGCUUCUUAGAGGGACUAUCUGUGAUGCAGCAGAUGGAAGAAUGAGGCAAUAACAGGUCAGUGAUGCCCUUAGAUGCUCUGGGCUGCACGCGCGCUACAAUGUUGCACGCAACGAGUUCAACCUUGCCUGAGAAGGCCGGGUAAUCUCGAAAAUGCAUCAAAGUUGGGAUAGAUGAUUGCAAUUGUUCAUCUUGAACAAGGAACACCUA
This 309-nucleotide ribosomal RNA is filed under the name Haplosporidium nelsoni. RNAcentral's name for it is "SSU rRNA". It matches the Rfam family "Eukaryotic small subunit ribosomal RNA", at positions 1293 to 1616 of the family's 1831-position model. Lineage: Eukaryota; Endomyxa; Ascetosporea; Haplosporida; Haplosporidiidae. The record is from RNAcentral.